UGGGGAAUAUUGCACAAUGGGCGAAAGCCUGAUGCAGCAACGCCGCGUGAGUGAUGAAGGCCUUCGGGUUGUAAAGCUCUGUCUUUUGGGACGAUAAUGACGGUACCAAAGGAGGAAGCCACGGCUAACUACGUGCCAGCAGCCGCGGUAAUACGUAGGUGGCAAGCGUUGUCCGGAUUUACUGGGCGUAAAGGAUGCGUAGGCGGAUUUUUAAGUGAGAUGUGAAAAACCCCUAAGCUUAACUUGGGGGACUGCAUUUCAUACUGGAAAUCUAGAGUGCGGGAGAGGAGAAUGGAAUUCCUAGUGUAGCGGUGAAAUGCGUAGAGAUUAGGAAGAAACACCAGUGGCGAAGGCGAUUCUCUGGACCGUAACUGACGCUGAGGCAUGAAAAGCGUGGGUAGCAAACAGGAUUAGAUACCCUGGUAGUCCACGCCGUAAACGAUGAGUACUAGGUGUAGGAGGUAUCGACCCCUUCUGUGCCGCAGUUAACACAAUAAGUACUCCGCCUGGGAAGUACGAUCGCAAGAUUAAAACUCAAAU
RNAcentral lists this ribosomal RNA (540 nucleotides) under uncultured bacterium. RNAcentral describes it as "partial 16S ribosomal RNA". It matches the Rfam family "Bacterial small subunit ribosomal RNA", at positions 355 to 906 of the family's 1533-position model. The record is from RNAcentral.